This 549-nucleotide ribosomal RNA is filed under the name uncultured beta proteobacterium. RNAcentral's name for it is "bacterial SSU rRNA". It matches the Rfam family "Bacterial small subunit ribosomal RNA", at positions 355 to 897 of the family's 1533-position model. Lineage: Bacteria; Pseudomonadati; Pseudomonadota; Betaproteobacteria. The record is from RNAcentral.
UGGGGAAUUUUGGACAAUGGGGGCAACCCUGAUCCAGCCAUGCCGCGUGCGGGAAGAAGGCCUUCGGGUUGUAAACCGCUUUUAUUCGGAAAGAAGGAGUGGAGGUUAAUAGCUUCCAUGACAGACGGUACCGGAUGAAUAAGCACCGGCUAACUACGUGCCAGCAGCCGCGGUAAUACGUAGGGUGCGAGCGUUAAUCGGAAUUACUGGGCGUAAAGCGUGCGCAGGCGGUUGGCAAAGUCAGCUGUGAAAGCCCCGGGCUUAACCUGGGAAUUGCGGUUGAAACUAGUCGACUAGAAUCUGGCAGAGGGGGGUGGAAUUCCACGUGUAGCAGUGAAAUGCGUAGAGAUGUGGAGGAACACCGAUGGCGAAGGCAGCCCCCUGGGCUGAGAUUGACGCUCAGGCACGAAAGCGUGGGGAGCAAACAGGAUUAGAUACCCUGGUAGUCCACGCCCUAAACGAUGUCAACUAGGUGUUGGGAGCGCAAGUUCUCAGUACCGCAGCUAACGCGUGAAGUUGACCGCCUGGGGAGUACGGUCGCAAGAUUAA